Molecule: ribosomal RNA, 421 nt
Filed under: uncultured bacterium
Lineage: Bacteria
Description: partial 16S ribosomal RNA
Rfam family: Bacterial small subunit ribosomal RNA
Source: RNAcentral
AAUAUUGGAAAAUGGGCGAAAGCCUGAUCCAGCCAUGCCGCGUGUGUGAAGAAGGUCUUCGGAUUGUAAAGCACUUUAAGAUGAGAGAAAGGGCAGUAAGUUAAUACCUUGCUGCUUUGACGAUAUCGACAGAAUAAGCACCAGCUAACUUCGUGCCAGCAGCCGCGGUAAUACGAAGGGUGCAAGAGUUAAUCGGAAUUACUGGGCGUAAAGCGCGCGUAGGUGGUUUGUUAAGUUGGAAGUGAAAGCCCCGGGCUUAACCUGGAAACUGCUUUCAUAACUGCUGAGCUAGAGUACGGUAGAGGGUAGUGGAAUUUCCUGUGUAGCGGUGAAAUGCGUAGAUAUAGGAAGGAACACCAGUGGCGAAGGCGACUACCUGGACUGAUACUGACACUGAGGUGCGAAAGCGUGGGGAGCAAAC